This 522-nucleotide ribosomal RNA is filed under the name Pseudomonas sp. IP1. Its description in RNAcentral is "bacterial SSU rRNA". It matches the Rfam family "Bacterial small subunit ribosomal RNA", at positions 1 to 522 of the family's 1533-position model. RNAcentral also lists the same sequence under 1 other name. Lineage: Bacteria; Pseudomonadati; Pseudomonadota; Gammaproteobacteria; Pseudomonadales; Pseudomonadaceae. The record is from RNAcentral.
UGGAGAGUUUGAUCCUGGCUCAGAUUGAACGCUGGCGGCAGGCCUAACACAUGCAAGUCGAGCGGAUGAAGGGGGCUUGCUCCCUGAUUCAGCGGCGGACGGGUGAGUAAUGCCUAGGAAUCUGCCUGGUAGUGGGGGACAACGUUUCGAAAGGAACGCUAAUACCGCAUACGUCCUACGGGAGAAAGCAGGGGACCUUCGGGCCUUGCGCUAUCAGAUGAGCCUAGGUCGGAUUAGCUAGUUGGUGAGGUAAUGGCUCACCAAGGCUGCGAUCCGUAACUGGUCUGAGAGGAUGAUCAGUCACACUGGAACUGAGACACGGUCCAGACUCCUACGGGAGGCAGCAGUGGGGAAUAUUGGACAAUGGGCGAAAGCCUGAUCCAGCCAUGCCGCGUGUGUGAAGAAGGUCUUCGGAUUGUAAAGCACUUUAAGUUGGGAGGAAGGGCAGUAAGUUAAUACCUUGCUGUUUUGACGUUACCGACAGAAUAAGCACCGGCUAACUCUGUGCCAGCAGCCGCGGUA